GACGAACGCUGGCGGCGUGCUUAACACAUGCAAGUCGAACGGAAAGGCCCUGCUUUUGUGGGGUGCUCGAGUGGCGAACGGGUGAGUAACACGUGAGUAACCUGCCCUUGACUUUGGGAUAACUUCAGGAAACUGGGGCUAAUACCGGAUAGGAGCUCCUGCUGCAUGGUGGGGGUUGGAAAGUUUCGGCGGUUGGGGAUGGACUCGCGGCUUAUCAGCUUGUUGGUGGGGUAGUGGCUUACCAAGGCUUUGACGGGUAGCCGGCCUGAGAGGGUGACCGGCCACAUUGGGAAUGGGGUACGGCCCAGACUCCUACGGGGGGCAGCAGUGGGGAAUAUUGCACAAUGGGCGGAAGCCUGAUGCAGCAACGCCGCGUGCGGGAUGACGGCCUUCGGGUUGUAAACCGCUUUCGCCUGUGACGAAGCGUGAGGGACGGUAAUGGGUAAAGAAGCACCGGCUAACUACGUG
RNAcentral lists this ribosomal RNA (468 nucleotides) under uncultured bacterium. RNAcentral's name for it is "partial 16S ribosomal RNA". It matches the Rfam family "Bacterial small subunit ribosomal RNA", at positions 28 to 507 of the family's 1533-position model. The record is from RNAcentral.